AAAUGAAUAGACGGGGGCCCGCACAAGCGGUGGAGCAUGUGGUUUAAUUCGACGCUACGCGAAGAACCUUACCUGGGCUUGAACUGCUGGUGGUAGAAGCCCGAAAGGGUAACGACCCGGAGCAAUCCGGGAGCCAGUAGAGGUGCUGCAUGGCUGUCGUCAGCUCGUGUCGUGAGAUGUUGGGUUAAGUCCCGCAACGAGCGCAACCCUUACCCUUAGUUGCCAGCGGGUAAUGCCGGGCACUCUAAGGGGACCGCCCCGGAUAACGGGGAGGAAGGCGGGGAUGACGUCAAGUCAGCAUGGCCUUUAUGUCCAGGGCUACACACGUGCUACAAUGGACGGUACAGAGGGAAGCAAGGCCGCAAGGUAGAGCUAAUCCCUAAAGCCGUCCUCAGUUCGGAUUGCAGGCUGCAACUCGCCUGCAUGAAGUCGGAAUCGCUAGUAAUCGCGGAUCAGCUACGCCGCGGUGAAUACGUUCUCGGGCCUUGUACACACCGCCCGU
This 502-nucleotide ribosomal RNA is filed under the name uncultured bacterium. Its description in RNAcentral is "bacterial SSU rRNA". It matches the Rfam family "Bacterial small subunit ribosomal RNA", at positions 903 to 1397 of the family's 1533-position model. The record is from RNAcentral.